AUGGCACUCCUGAGGGCUCUGUGCUACCUCCUUCGGGGUCUUGGUACUGAGGCCCCGGGUCUGGGAUCCACCUGCCAAGUCAGCCAGCAGAGGUGCUCAACAACGUUAGCUAGAUGUAGAAAGGACAGAGCAGCUUUCUGGAGCUGUCAUGUACUCCUCCAAGGAUACAGCCCCCUGGAAACCUCCUCUUUGGAAUGAUGUGGACAUUUUCAAGGAAAAGUGGUGACUAACAUGACCCUGAACUUUGGGCCUCAGCACCCAGCAGCCCAUGGAGUCUUGAGACUAGUGCUAGAGUUGAGCGGAGAGAUGGUGUGGAAAUGUGACCCUCACAUUGUGUUCCUGCACCAAGGCACUAAGAAGCUCACUGAGUACAAGAUCUAUCUACAGACCCUUCCGUACUUUGGCUGGUUGGGCUAUGUGUCCAUGAUGUGUAAUGAACAGGCCUAUUCGGUAGCUCGGGAGAAGUUGUUAAACAUUCAACCUCCUCCCCAGGCACACUGGAUCCAAGUGCUCUUUAGAGAGAUCACACAGAUUUUAAACCAUUUCAUGGCUGUCAUCACACAUACCCUGGACAUUGGUAACAUGACUCCUUUCUUCUGGAUCUUUGAAGAAUGACAGAAGAUGUUCUGGUUCUAUGAGCGGGUGUCUGGAGCCCGAAGGCAUGCUGCUUAUAUCCGACCAGGAGGACUGCACCAGGACCUACCUCUUGGGCUUAUGAUGACAUUUAUGACUUUCCCAAAACCUUCUCUCUUCAGAUUGAUGAGGUGGAGGAGAUGCUGACCAACAAUAGAAUCUGUCCAAAUAGGACAGUCAAUGUUGGGGUUGUAUCGGCAGAAGACACACUUAACUAUGGAUUCAGUAGGGUGAUGUUCCAAGGCUCAGGCAUCCAGUGGGACUUGCAGAAGACCCAGCCCUGAUGUUUUCAACCAGGUAAAGUUUGAUGUUCCUGUUGGCUCUCAAGGGGACUGCUACAAUAGAUACCUGUGUCUCAUGGAGAAGAUGUGCCAGUGCCUUCAAAUCAUUGAAAGGUGAAUCACUGAACAAGAUGCCUCCAGGGGAGAUCAAGGUGUCCCCACCUAAAUGAGCAGAAAUGAAGACUUUCAUGGAGUCACUAAGUCAUCACUUUAAGCUGUAUACUGAGGGCUACCAAGUUCCUCCAGGAACAACAUAUACUGCCAUUGAAGCUCCUAAGGGAGAGUUUGGGGUAUACUUGGUGUCUGAUGGCAGCAGCAGGCCUUAUAAGAUCAAGGCUCCUGGUUUUGCCCACCUGGAUGGUUUGGACAAGAUGUCUAAGGGACACAUGUCGGCAGAUGUCAUAGCCAUCAUAGGUACCCAGGAUAUUGUGUUUGGUGAAACAGACUGA
RNA transcript from Mastomys coucha (southern multimammate mouse), 1363 nucleotides. It is a transcript of the gene named NADH dehydrogenase [ubiquinone] iron-sulfur protein 2, mitochondrial pseudogene, with no coding region annotated. Lineage: Eukaryota; Metazoa; Chordata; Mammalia; Rodentia; Muridae. The record is from RefSeq and is a predicted model, not a curated record. The transcript has a single exon.